GACGAACGCUGGCGGCGUGCUUAACACAUGCAAGUCGAACGAUGAAGCUAGAGCUUGCUCUGGUGAAUUAGUGGCGAACGGGUGAGUAACACGUGAGUAACCUGCCCCGAACUCUGGGAUAACUGCUGGAAACGGUAGCUAAUACUGGAUACGACCUACGAAGGCAUCUUCUGUAGGUGGAAAGAAUUUCGGUUCGGGAUGAACUCGCGGCCUAUCAGCUUGUUGGUGAGGUAAUGGCUCAACAAGGCGACGACGGGUAGCCGGCCUGGGUGGGUGGGCGGCCACGCUGGGACUGGGACACGGCCCAGACACCUACGGGGGGCAUCAGUGGGGAAUAUUGCACACUGGGCGCAGGGCUGAUGCAGCAACGCCGCGUGAGGAAUGAAGGCCUUCGGGUUGUCAACCUCUUUUAGUAGGGAAGAAGCGAAAGUGACGGUACCUGCAGAAAAAGCACCGGCUAACUACGUGCCAGCCGCCGCGGUAA
RNAcentral lists this ribosomal RNA (484 nucleotides) under uncultured bacterium. RNAcentral describes it as "partial 16S ribosomal RNA". It matches the Rfam family "Bacterial small subunit ribosomal RNA", at positions 28 to 523 of the family's 1533-position model. The record is from RNAcentral.